Molecule: ribosomal RNA, 472 nt
Filed under: uncultured bacterium
Lineage: Bacteria
Description: SSU rRNA
Rfam family: Bacterial small subunit ribosomal RNA
Source: RNAcentral
AGGAUGAACGCUGGCGGCGUGCCUAACACAUGCAAGUCGAACGUCCUGUCUCGCAAGAGGCAGGGAGUGGCGGACGGGUGAGUACCACGUGGGUCAUCUACCGUGAGGUGAGGAAUACCGGCGAGAAAUCGCCGACAAGACCGCAUAGGCUCGAUGCAAGUCGAGCAAAGCUCUUUCGAGAGAGGGAGCGCCACACGAGGAGCCUGCGCCCGAUUAGCUAGCUGGUGGAGUAACGGUUCACCAGGGCGACGAUCGGUAGCUGGUCUGAGAGGACGAUCAGCCACACUGGGAUUGAGAACGGCCCAGACUCCUACGGGGGCAGCAGUGAGGAAUUUUCGUCAAUGGGGGCAACCCUGAACGAGCAACGCCGCGUGCAGGAAGAAGGUUUCGGAUCGUAAACUGCUUUUCUCGGGGAAGAGAACGGACGGUACCCGAGGAAUCGAGCCCCGGCUAACUACGUGCCAGCAGCCGC